AUACGUAGGGUGCAAGCGUUAUUCGGAAUUACUGGGCGUAAAGCGUGCGCAGGCGGUUUUGUAAGACAGAGGUGAAAUCCCCGGGCUCAACCUGGGAACUGCCUUUGUGACUGCAAGGCUAGAGUACGGCAGAGGGGGAUGGAAUUCCGCGUGUAGCAGUGAAAUGCGUAGAUAUGCGGAGGAACACCGAUGGCGAAGGCAAUCCCCUGGGCCUGUACGGACGCUCAUGCACGAAAGCGUGGGGAGCAAACAGGAUUAGAUACCCUGGUAGUCCACGCCCAAAACGAUGUCAACUGGUUGUUGGGUCUUCAUUGACUCAGUAACGAAGCUAACGCGUGAAGUUGACCGCCUGGGGAGUACGGCCGCAAGGUUGAAACUCAAAUGAAUUGGCGGGG
Molecule: ribosomal RNA, 395 nt
Filed under: uncultured bacterium
Lineage: Bacteria
Description: partial 16S ribosomal RNA
Rfam family: Bacterial small subunit ribosomal RNA
Source: RNAcentral